This 867-nucleotide ribosomal RNA is filed under the name Claudopus sp. SAAS083001. RNAcentral describes it as "partial 28S ribosomal RNA". It matches the Rfam family "Eukaryotic large subunit ribosomal RNA", at positions 53 to 907 of the family's 3401-position model. The record is from RNAcentral. Lineage: Eukaryota; Fungi; Basidiomycota; Agaricomycetes; Agaricales; Entolomataceae.
GAGGAAAAGAAACUAACAAGGAUUCCCCUAGUAACUGCGAGUGAAGCGGGAAAAGCUCAAAUUUAAAAUCUGGUAGUCUUUGGCUGCCCGAGUUGUAAUCUAGAGAAGCGUUAUCCGCGUUGGACCGUGUAUAAGUCUCCUGGAAUGGAGCGUCAUAGAGGGUGAGAAUCCCGUCUUUGACACGGACUACCAGGGCUUUGUGAUGCGCUCUCAAAGAGUCGAGUUGUUUGGGAAUGCAGCUCUAAAUGGGUGGUAAAUUCCAUCUAAAGCUAAAUAUUGGCGAGAGACCGAUAGCGAACAAGUACCGUGAGGGAAAGAUGAAAAGAACUUUGGAAAGAGAGUUAAACAGUACGUGAAAUUGUUGAAAGGGAAACGCUUGAAGUCAGUCGCGUUGACCAGGGAUCAACCUUGCUUUUGCUUGGUGUACUUCCUGAUUAACGGGUCAGCAUCAAUUUUGACCAGUGGAAAAAGUUCGAGGGAAUGUGGCAUCUUCGGAUGUGUUAUAGCCCUUGGUCGUAUACAUUGGUUGGGAUUGAGGAACUCAGCACGCCGCAAGGCCGGGUUUUAACCACGUUCGUGCUUAGGAUGCUGGCAUAAUGGCUUUAAUCGACCCGUCUUGAAACACGGACCAAGGAGUCUAACAUGCCUGCGAGUGUUUGGGUGGAAAACCCAAGCGCGUAAUGAAAGUGAAAGUUGGGAUCUCUGUCGUGGGGAGCACCGACGCCCGGACCAGACCUUCUGUGACGGAUCCGCGGUAGAGCAUGUAUGUUGGGACCCGAAAGAUGGUGAACUAUGCCUGAAUAGGGUGAAGCCAGAGGAAACUCUGGUGGAGGCUCGUAGCGAUUCUGACGUGCAAAUCGAUCGUCG